GUCACCUUCAUCAUCCAGCAUCGGUUUUCAGCGCGGGGCUCUCUGGACUCCUCUCAGCAAUACGAACAUUUUUUCCCUGCAUGCCGGUGGGUUGCUCUGCUGUUUGCUCAGACUCCCAGGAAGCGCUGCCUUCCUGGAGGAUCAGCGCGGCACCCGCACAGUAAUCCUUGACGUUACAGCUGGAUGGUCCGGCCAAAACAAGGAGGCGUCCGAUGAACUUUUGCUGUGUCCCUCCCUGGCCACGCCUCUGGUCCUGGGCGAGGAGGCCGACGAGGCGGCGCGGGCAUGGCUGGAGCCGCCGCUGCUUAUGCCCCAUCACAUCCCCGCGUCUUGCAGGGGCCUGUAGGCUGUGCACCCCCACCCCCCUGCGGUCCACUUCUAACAGGCGUGGCGACACAGGAGGCAGGACCUGACUCCCACGACCAAGAUGAGGGAGGUCAUAGCCAGGGGUGGGCGGUGCUCCUGCAUCAGGGGUCACGGGGGGGAGAUAGUUCCGCACCCGCGGCCCCUUCACGCAGGGCUUCCUCGUGUCCCGGGGAGUCCCGCCACACCGUGGUGACCGAUUGGUCCCUCUGACUGUUCAGCACUUACGGGUAGAGUGCCCCAGUCCAGGGGACCUGCGAAACGGUGCCCCUCCCGGUGCAGGGGCACACUUUCUCUCCCCCCUGGUGCUGGGGUAAGAGGCGCCCUCCCCGGGACAUGCAAGAACCCAUGCCUGCAAGAGGUUGGCGUCUGUUAACCCACAAAAAACGAUCCUCCCGGAAACAGAAGACGCCAAGCCGUGCACACGCCUGGUGGCCUCCUUCCCCUAAUGCCAUGCACCGUGUUUAUGUGCAGGCAGCGUGUGGCGAGAGGGACUCAGCACGACGCCUCACCGCUUCUCAGAAAAGUUGUUCGGCGACAUGAACAAAGUUGCUUCAGUGAAUGCCAUUAAUUUUUUUUCAAACAAACCCGUAACCGUGAUCUGAUUGUUUAAUUUCGCUAUUAAACCACGGUGGGCUUUUAUUAGUGUUAAUUCGCUUCUCGCACAAGGGGACGAAUGUGUUCUGCUGAGUGAGUAAGUGAUUUUUAAGGUUUAGCCAGGCUUCAUCUACGUUGCCGUCAUCUGAUAGUUGUAUUUCUGUUAGUUUUUGUCGGAUUUCUACGAAGUUAGCUCUUUUGAAAUUGGGCACCUUUACUUUAUUUUCAGUCACUGAUGAUUGAGCUCUAAUGUCGACGCGCACUAAUUUAUGAUCGCAAGAACCGAGGUGUUCUCCUACCGUGACACUACUGACUAGGUUAUCUUGGGUCGUUAUAACAAGGUCGAGUAUAUUAUUUUGUCAAGUUGGCUCAGAAACCAUUUGGCUUAGAUAAUUUUCUUCUAGAAAUUCGAUCAUUCUAUGUGACUCGCCUUCUGUACCUGACAGUGUCGCCCAGUCGAUAUGGGGGAGGUCAAAGUCUCCUAAUAUCAGUGAGUCGUUGUUAUUAAGUGACUGCCUUAAGACGCUGUACAUUUCAAGGUUUCAAGGAUGAAAAUUAUGAUGUAAUCUAUCUUGAUUUUAGUAAAGCGUUUGACAAAGUUCCUCACCAACGACUGUUGCUUAAAUUACAGGCUCACGGAGUAGAGGGUAAAGUUUUGAACUGGGUCAAGGCGUGGCUUAGCAAUAGGAAGCAAAGAGUGCAAAUCAAUGGUAAAAGAUCUGACUGGGGAUGUGUUACGAGUGGGGUCCCACAAGGUUCGGUAUUAGGUCCACUUUUGUUUAUUAUUUAUAUCAAUGACUUAGAUACAGGAAUUAGUAGUGAUGUUAGUAAAUUUGCAGAUGAUACCAAGAUCGGUAGAGUAAUUGAGUCGGAUCAGGACGCUAGUAUUCUCCAAGGUGAACUCAACAGAUUAUAUGACUGGGCGGAUAAAUGGCAGAUGGAGUUCAAUGUAGGGAAGUGCAGUAUUCUGAGUGUAGGUAGGAACAACCCCUCACAUAACUAUUGCUUAAAUGACACGCUCAUAAUUAGGUCUGGGUGCGAGAGGGAUAUAGGGGUCUUAGUGAGCUCUGAUCUCCGUCCAAGGGCACAAUGCAUUCAAGCUAGAAAUCGAGCUAAUAGGGUACUGGGAUUUAUUUCAAGGAGCGUAAGCAACAGAAGCCCCGAAGUCUUCCUCAAACUAUAUUUAGCAUUAGUUAGACCUCAUCUUGACUAUGCGGUUCAGUUCUGGUCACCUUACUAUAGAAUGGAUAUCAAAAUGUUAGAAUCGGUGCAGAGGAGGAUGACUAAGAUGAUUCAGGGGUUGAGAAACUUGCCAUACGAGGGAAGACUUAAACAGUUAAACUUGCAUUCUCUAGAAAGGCGAAGGGUGCGUGGAGACAUGAUCGAGGUUUAUAAAUGGAUGAAGGGCUUUAAUAAGGGAGACAUUCAUAAGGUUUUGUUGGUAAGAGAACCGGGUAGGACACGAAGUAACGGGUUUAAACUGGAUAAAUUCAGAUUCAACAGGGACAUAGGCAAAAAUUGGUUUACUAACAGGGUGGUGGAUGAGUGGAAUAGGCUUAGCAGUCAUGUGGUGAGUGCCAAUACAAUUGUCACAUUCAAAAAUAGACUAGAUAAAUUCAUGGACAGCGAUAUUAGGUGGGGUUAGAUACACGGGAGCUUAGGGUCAAAGGAGCUGCCUCGUACAGGCCUACCGGCCUCUUGUAGACUCCUGCGUUCUUAUGUUCUUAUGUUCUUAUGUCAUCGAGUGAUUGACCGGGAGGUCUGUAGGUGACAGAUAUAUUUAAAUUGACUUUUGCAAUGUUUACUCGCACGCACAAAUGUUCAACGUUACUGUUUCCCGGUGUUUUGUCAGUGGGUUGCAAAUAGCUUUUGACAUAAAGGGCGACGCCACCGCCUCUACGGUUUACACGAUCUUUGUUGAAGAGUCUGUAGCCAUCUAUGUUGUAUUCGGAUCUUAAAUCAAUAUUUGUGGUGUCGAUAAAUGUUUCGGUUAUAGCAAUUAUGUCAAAAUUUUCUGUUAAAGCAAGACAUCUCAGUUCAUCAAAUUUGUUUCUUAGGCUACGCGCAUUGAAACUAAGGAUUUUUAAGUUAUCUAGAGGCUUGGUAAUAGAGGUGGUGGUACUUGCGGGAUCACGGUUACGGGAGAGAGAGAGAGAGAGAGAGAAAUUACGUCAGCCAGAUGAGGGAUUAAGUGAAGAAUUAAUGACACUGAGGUCCCGUGCGUUGGGUAAGCAUAACUAUUUCUUGGUGCGCUGUAAGAGAACGUGUCUGCAGUGGCUUGCUCGGCGGUACAGCACACAGAUGUACCCCAGCAGCAGUCAGCCGGGCAACAUGCUCGACGCUCCCGCCCCACGCCUCGCCUCAGCUCCCGGCCAGCCUGCAGCCCCCGCCCCGGUGAGGCCGCUGAGCUGGGCGCCGUACACCCCCUCCCUGGACCAAGAGAAGGCCGCCAAGGAGAAGGUGGGCGAAGAGGGGGACGGUUGUGCUCCUCUGAACACCCGGACAUGGUUUAUUCCUGACACACUCCCCUUGGAAAUUAUUAUACUCUCCCCGGAACAUUAAUUUUCCCCGUGGACGUUCCCUCAGCCCCUGGACAUACCCUUCCCUGGACAUUUCCCCGUGGACGUUCCCUCAGCCCCUGGACAUACCCUCCCCUGGACAUUUCCACGUGGACGUUCCCUCAGCCCCUGGACAUACCCUUCCCUGGACAUUUCCACGUGGACGUUCCCUCAGCCCCUGGACAUACCCUUCCCUGGACAUUUCCACGUGGACGUUCCCUCAGCCCCUGGACAUACCCUUCCCUGGACAUUUCCACGUGGACGUUCCCUCGGCCCCCUGGACAUACCCUCCCCUGGACAUUUCCACGUGGACGUUCCCUCAGCCCCUGGACAUACCCUCCCCUGGACAUUUCCCCGUGGACGUUCCCUCGGCCCCCUGGACAUACCCUCCCCUGGACAUUUCCCCGUGGACGUUCCCUCGGCCCCCUGGACAUACCCUCCCCUGGACAUUUCCCCGUGGACGUUCCCUCGGCCCCCUGGACAUACCCUCCCCUGGACAUUCCCUCAGCCCCCUGGACAUAAUUUCCCCUGGACAUUCUCACUCCAUGACCAUAGCAUUUUACCUUUAACUUCUCUAUCACUUUUUUUUUUUACGUCAUGGCCUAUUGCGCCGGUAGGCUUCUUCCCGGUGGAUCCUGAUGGUCGGCCCAUGGCUUCUUCCCGGUGGGGCCUGAUGGUCGGCCCAGCCCGUUCUGGCGCAGGCGAGUGUUUAUAGUGGCGCCAUCUUGCAUUGGCUCAUGCUGCCCUCCCGGAGCUCAUCUUUAAUCCAAGAAUCUAGAGUCCGGGUUGAUAGGUGGUCUUCUGGACAUCAUGUGGGUAGUUUUAAGCCACUCGGCGGCGGCUGAAAAAUCCCAGCUUGGUGGCACCGGGCGGGGAUUGAACUCGCGUCGUCCUGAACGCGGCGCCGUCAUGCUAUCCAUUCAGCCACCGUCUUACGCCAGUGGUUCCCAAAGCCGUGGCCGCGACCCAAAUGAGGGUCGUGAGAGUGUUCCUGAGGGUUGCUGGAGGCUCUUGGAAAAAAAACAUAAUAGUUAUUAUCUCAAACUGUAAAGGACGAUUUUUAAAAUGACAGUUAAGUCAAAUUUACAUUUUUCAGUAAUGUCGUUGUAUUAGUUCAGUAGGACAGCAUGAAGAUUCUCAUUAACACACACUAACAAAAGUAGCGUUGUACUAAAGCGCCCAUCCAGUGCGGCACGUCACACCAGCAGCAUAUUCACGUAUAUAACACGUGUCCACACACACCCAGUGCAGCACGUCACACCAGCAGCAUAUUCACGUAUAUAACACGUGUCCACACACACCCAGUGCGGCACGUCACACCAGCAGCAUAUUCACGUAUAUAACACGUGUCCACACACACCCAGUGCAGCACGUCACACCAGCAGCAUAUUCACGUAUAUAGCACGUGUCCACACACACCCAGUGCGGCACGUCACACCAGCAGCAUAUUCACGUAUAUAACACGUGUCCACACACACCCAGUGCGGCACGUCACACCAGCAGCAUAUUCACGUAUAUAACACGUGUCCACACACACCCAGUGCGGCACGUCACACCAGCAGCAUAUUCAUGUACAGAACACGUGUCCACACACACCCAGUGCGGCACGUCACACCAGCAGCAUAUUCAUGUACAGAACACGUGUCCACACACACCCAGUGCAGCACGUCACACCAGCAGCAUAUUCACGUAUAUAACACGUGUCCACACACACCCAGUGCGGCACGUCACACCAGCAGCAUAUUCACGUAUAUAACACGUGUCCACACACACCCAGUGCGGCACGUCACACCAGCAGCAUAUUCACGUACAGAACACGUGUCCACACACACCCAGUGCGGCACGUCACACCAGCAGCAUAUUCACGUACAGAACACGUGUCCGCCGGGAUAGCAGCGAGGAGGCGGAGGACAAAUUCAUAAAUAUCUGGAAGUAUAACACAUGAUUAUAAUUGGAAACAAGUUCAGAUCAAGACUGUGUUAAGGGUCGCCAGGCCAGGCCAAGACUGUGUUAAGGGUCGCCAGGCCAGGCCAAGACUGUGUUAAGGGUCGCAGCCAGCCAGGAGGGUAUUAAAAAUAGCGUGGCGCGGCACGCCCCUGCAAUACUUAUCGCUGCCACAGUUCAGGGUCCAUAUAUUCAUAAAUGUAUCUGGCUCCCAUUACGACAAUUUCCCAAGGCCACGGAGAAGAUUAAUAGAAUAUUCAUGGAUUUAUUUCCCGGUCACGGUGCAGAAGUCGGGCAUAUUUUCUUUUUUCUAGGCUCACGUAACUGUCCAUGGAAAUCCCAGAAACUUCUACGAGAGGCUUUUCAAGCCUGAGGCGCCGAUACGUUAAGAUUACUACGGCCUGGAGUGCCAGGUGGCGGUGCUCGACCCUCUGUGUGUGUGUGUUGGCGAGGGAAGUGUUCUGCUGGUGUGUGGGCGGCUGUGCUUCCCCGCCCGCCCCAGCCAGCACACGCCCAUGGGACCGGUUCCUUAUCCAAGAAUUAGAAAAAGCACACAGUGAAGGCCGCCGGUACACAAGGCAGACAGAAAGAUAAGCAGGCAGGCAUUGUGGCAGGCAUACAGGUAGCUAGGCGGAUUCGAACGCUGGUCCCCGACUGUGUGACCUCGAGAAGGAUGGAGUCCAGGACGCCGCGCUGAGGCCCACGCUGCUGCAGGUGGCGACCAUCCUGCUGUCGUCGCUGGCCACGCUGCAGUUCGGCAUAAGCUACUCCUGGCCCAACUCCCUCGCCGGCGACCUCCGCACCGACAACUCCACGCUCCUCGGCCACCAGAUCUCCGUCACCUCCGUCGGCCACGACCUCGUCGGUGAGUCCCUGCGGCCUCGCGCCCACUAACACUCGAUGGCACUAACCUCCCGCAGCAUGCAUGGCCUUCGAAGGGCACUGUUCGACGGCUCUCCCUGGCACGCCCUGCCAGCCCGGCCACUCUUCGCAGACGCCCCCAGUCAGGUGUUGGCGGCGGAUUUGGCACGUUUUUUUCCAGUUUCCUCGCUCCGUGGCGUCACCUU
Eriocheir sinensis (Chinese mitten crab) is the source of this 6529-nucleotide long non-coding RNA. RefSeq lists it as uncharacterized. The transcript is spliced from 4 exons. The record is from RefSeq and is a predicted model, not a curated record. NCBI's taxonomy places the organism in Eukaryota, Metazoa, Arthropoda, Malacostraca, Decapoda, Varunidae.